AACAGGCUUAUAGAUGACUAUCCCAAACAAGUAUCUGUAUAACUUGUUUUUUAUUUGCAAGUAACACUCAUGUUAAUAUAACCCAGUAGGCUGGUGUUUUUUGGCAACAACAGUAUGCUGUUGGCUCACAUGCACCUUAGGGUCAACUGUACCCUCAGGUUUUUCUCUGCAGUACUACAGUCUAGCAGUCAUUCCCCAGUCCCUAUUUGGACAUGUAAUUAUUCCAUCCCAAGUGCAGGACUUUGCACUUGUCCUUAUUCAAUCUCAUCUGUAAACCAUUUUCCUAGUCUCUCCGGUUCAUUCUGGAUUCUAGUCCUACUCUCCAGAGUACCUGCAACUCCACCCAACUUGAUGUCAUCUGUAAAUUUGGUAAGCAUGCACUCAGUUCUAUUGUCCAAAUCAUUAAUGAAAAUAUUGAACAAUACUGGACCCAAGACAGACUCCUGGGGAACCCCACUUGAUAGCUCCUCUCAACUAGACAUUGAGCUAUUGAUGAAUACUUGUUGUGUACGUCUACACGACUCCCUACAGCAACAUAGUGACACACUACAUCACCAUACAGCGCACUAUGGCAACAUAGCCAUCACACGGGUUGACACAUGAUCACUAGCUAUGUCACCAUAGCAGCAUGCUCCCCGCUUAUAGCAUGCCACUAUAGUGUUAUAGCAGGGAAAUCUAAGCGUGUACUGCCCAUACAGGGCAGUAUAGGAAGUUACUGCACCAUGCUUUAGUACUUCCAAGAGGAAGUACUAAAGUACAGUGCCGUAGCAAUGUCACCAUAUGACAAUGUGUAGACGCGCCUGUUGAGUAAAAUGAUCCAAUGAUUUAUAUAUUCACGUUAUAGUACUUUUCAUCUGGUCUGUACCGCUUUAGAUUGUUAAUGGGAAUGUUAUUAGAGACUGUGUUAAAAGCCUUGCUAAAGUCAUGAUAUAACCCAUCCACUUCUCUCUCCACUUCUACGGAGCCUGUCACCUUAUCACAAAAGGAAAUCAGGUUGAUCAGGCAAGACUUGUUCUUGGUGAAUCCAUGCCGGCUGUUCCUGAUCACCUUGUUCUUCUCUAGUUGCUUCACAAUAGAUUCCUUGAAUACUUGCUCCCUGCUCUUUCAAGGUCUUGAGGUCAGGCUGACUGGUCAAUAGUUCUCUAAAUCUGCCUUCUUCACUUUCUUAAAGAUGGGUACUAUAUUUGCCCCUUUUCAGUCAUCCUAGACUUCACUCAACCUUCAUGAGUUCUCAGAGGAUAGCUAAUAGCUCUGAAAUUACCUCACCUUAAAGUGCAUCCCCUCCAGCCCUGCUUCUUUGAAAGCAUCUAACUUCUCUAAGUAAUCCCUAACCUUUUCUUCCACUACUCUAGACUUUGUCUCUUUCCCUGUCUUUGCUGGCAACUGCACUAAUAAUCUGGUAGCUGUCCCCAUUUCCGAAGAGAGUGAAGUAAAAAAGGCAUUAAAUACUUCACUCUUCUCUGCAUCAUCCAUAACUAGAUUUCCUUCCACAUUCCUUAAGGGACCUAUGUUUUCUGACUACCUCUUACUUUUGACAUAUUUGCAGAAUCCUCUUUUUUAUUGCCUUUUAUGUCCCUUGCCAGCUGCAUCUGAUAUCACGCCUCGGCCUUCAUAAUGUUCUCCCUGCAUGCCUGUGUGAUACUCUUAUACUUUUUCCUCGUACUAUAACCAAGCUUUCACUUUUCACUGGGUUUCUUUUUGAGUUUCAACUCAUUAAAGAGAUCACUAUCUACUGGGGUGUUCUCCUGUUGCACUUCCCAGUCUUCUGUUACAGUGAGAUAGCUUGCUCCUGUGCCCAAAAGGGUCUCCUUAAAGUAGAGCCAGGUCUCUUGGACUCCUUUUCCCUUCAGACUUGUCUUCCAGGGAGUCCUCCCCAUCAGUUCCCUGAGAUCUGUUAAAGUGUGCUUUUCUGAAGUCCUUGUUCUGCUGCUCUCCUUCCUUCCUCACCUUAGCACCUUAUCAUUUAGGACUCUUAGGACUCUUAUCACUUAGGACUCUUAUCAUUUCAUGGUCACUGCCACCCAAGUUACCUUCCAUCUUCACAUUCUCAAGCAAUUCCUCCCUGUUUAUGAGUAAAUCAAGAACUUCCCCCCUUGUUGACCUCAUUACUAUCCAUGUCAAAAAAUUAUCCCCAAUACACCCCAAUAAUUUUCUAGACUGCUUGUGAAGUGCUGUUUUUCUCCCAGCAGAUGUCCCAGUAAUUAAAGUUCCCUAUAAGAAUCAGGUGAUUCAGAAGGUUAAUGAAGGCCUCGUCUACCUCCUCCUCUUGGUUUGGAGACUUGUAGAAGAUGUCCACCAUAACAUCUCCCCUACUGCUCUCCUUGCUGAUCUUUAUACAGAGUCUUUCAACAGGCUUAUGUUCCACUUCCUGGUGCAGAUGGGGGCAGGAGGAAGGAGCAAGCCAGAGGGUGUUCAGCACAAUGAGGCGGGUACUAGCCUGGAAGAAUAAGAUUUCAAGCUGGGGGCCUUCCUUCCCAGUGAGAUAGAGGCAUCCUCCUGCACUGCAUUCCAUCCAUUUUUCCAGUGACUGUAUGUUAAUAGUUUAGCUUCAAAAGGGGUGCCAGAGAAGACUGAAUAAAGCUUCAACUCUGGUGGGGAGGCUGGAGUGCUAUACUGGUGAAUCAGACACACCCAGGUCCAACACCCUUUGGACCAGGGUGGCUUAGAUUGCAGGACAUUUAGCCUCCCAGGUGAGUGUCUUAGCCACUGAGCUGUUGGAGUGAAAAAGGGACACACACAGUGUGCCCCUUUAUUGGUCUUAGUUUCAAAAACAGAACCCAUGGGUUUUAGCUGGCCUGUUUGUGGGUGCUUGAGGCUGCCAUGCAUCCACAAAGGGUGCAUGCAGGUGCCCUAGCUGCCCCUGUGCAUGCCCAGUUUGUGUGACUAUGUAGCUGCAGAGUUAUCCAUGCAUGCACAGCUAUAAACCCAGGAACAGAAUGCCAACCUAUGUGCAAAUGCUAAUUUUGACAUUAGGUUGGCCAAAAAUGCCAUAUAAAUGACCAAAUCUGGAUGCUUUGCUUAACAGGAAGGGAACAAAUGCCACCUUUUGUUCUCGCUCUAGGCUAGAAUGGCAUCUUUUACAGUGUAAAUGCCUAAUGGUCAGAUCUAAUAAAGACUCCAGCCACUGUAGGGUACUGGCUAACAAAAGCCAUUUCCUCAGUGAUAACUACUGUUUAUACCUUGUUCCUUAUCUGGAACCCUUUAAGAACCAAAUUUUCAGUAGGAUGACCAGGGGUGUAUGACCUGGGCACCAGCCCCAGGCACUGAUUUUAAAAGGUUGAAAGAAGGGCAUCUGCUAGUACUGCUGCCUCCGGCCCAUCUACCACCACUGCUGCUGUCCUGGCCACUGCCACUACCCCAGCCACUACUGCCACCUAGGGUAUAGAAUCUACUUGUCACACUUCUGCAAACUUGGAAAAGGUUUAUAGUUUGCUCUCAGUGCAAGUCACUGAUAUACAGGACUGUUGCAAGAUGCAUAUAGAGAAUGCAGGGAUGAUGAUGAAUCGAAUUUUUGUUUUAAACAAUGCUUUCAUUAUGCAGUCAUUUUUCAUUAUGUUUAGUUGAUUGUUUUUAAUUAAUAUCUUAAUUAUACUAUAGGGCUAUACAAUGGAUGCAGAUGAUUUAUGUUUUUCUAGGUGAAAUAUUCAUAUCCAUAACAGGGAAGCCAACCUCUUCUCUUGUGAACGAGAUACUGUGACUUCAUAUAUGUGCCCAUGACAGCAAACAUGCAUAAAUCCAAUUGAUGAGUUAUCCCAUCAACUGACUGAGGAGAAAAAACAUUCUGGAUGGUUCAUAUUUGAGGGGUUGCAGUAUGAAAAGAAAUACUUAGUCAUACAAUUAUAUACUUCAGCGCACAGAAGAUGAGAGAAGUAGAAACUAUUCAGACUGGAAUGGCACUGCUAACAGAUGUACACUUCUACAUUUUAACACAACCUUUGGCAAGUCUGGCAUGGCACUGAGAAGAGCUGGAUUGCCUUCAGCUCAGUGAGGUAACCAUAUUUCAUCCAGAGAUCCACAGGAGCAAAGGAAUCUUUUUUUCCAAUCCAAUAUUAUGAAGUGGGGUUGGCUGGGCUGGAAGAGAAUGCAAAAGCAAUUAGUGCUAAAUGCCAGAAUUUAGAAAGCAAGACUGAGAGGUUGAGAGGAAGACAUCAGUCAUUCAUCACGCAGACUGGGUAGCAGGGCAAUAAUAAUCAGGCAGUCCUCAAAUGUGUAGGGCAAAAAGACACUGCUCCAUUGCCCCCGCCCCAAUUCUUACCUUUGCUGACUUGCAAAAAGGAAGAAGUUGAGCUAUUUGUAACUCAUACAUUAAUCCCAAAGAAUAAAGCAACAUCUUGACAAAUGCAA
Long non-coding RNA from Alligator mississippiensis (American alligator), 4344 nucleotides. RefSeq lists it as uncharacterized. The record is from RefSeq and is a predicted model, not a curated record. NCBI's taxonomy places the organism in Eukaryota, Metazoa, Chordata, Crocodylia, Alligatoridae. The transcript has 3 exons.